UGAACCCUGGAUUUCCAGGUGUCAUUCCAAGGUCAGGUGGAACCAAGGGCUCCAUGGUCUUCACCCCCUGGUGUUACUCCUGAGAUUAUGUUAUGUUUGGUGGGAAAAGGAAUUCUGCAGAUGCCAUUAAGGUUACUAAUCAGAGAGCAUCUGCAUGGGCCUAACCUAAUCACAUGAGCCUUUUAAAAGUAGGGAAUUUUCUCCAGCUUGUUACAGAAGCGAGAUUCUUGUUACAGUUGAGAGAUUCUAAUUGUGAGAGGGAUUCAACAAGAGGAAGCUUCUCCAUUGCUGACUUUACCAUGAAAGGGUCAAUGGGACAAGAACUUGAGAAGCUGAGGGUAGUCCUUGCGGAGACAACAGGGACUUCAGUCCUACAACCACAGCAACUGAAUUCUGCCAACAACCUGAGCAAGCUUGGAAGAAGGUUCUUCUGCAAAGCCUCCAGGAAAUAACAAACCUGCCAGUUAACAACUCUGUCAUGAAUUUGGAGGUCUCCACAAUCACGGCUGGUGCAUCUUCAAGCAGUCAUCGUUUGUUUACAUUGACCGAACCCUUUACAUAAGAACUUCAGUGUCAAGCAUAUGAAGAUAUUUUAAAAAAUGAUUCUGGGACCCUUUGAAAUAAAUAUUGUGGCCUUAUUUAAACAUGACCAUUUUUUACACCAGAGAAAUGAGAACUCAAGUCACCUCAUAUAGACUUCAUACUGAACACUUACGAGUAAAUGAAGAAACUGCAUCUGCCAAAAUGGUGGCACCAAUAUUACAGAUGCAACAUGCCUCUUAAAGAGUAACCUACAUCAGAAAAAUUAAUGUCCUCCAUGUCCAAAUUUGCAACACGGAUCUUAGAUUUAAUAUAAAUACAUGAGAAAUACCUAGAUCUCUUUAAGGCUUUAAAAAAUGUGUACACACAAAUACAAUCACAACCUACAUUUGUGCUGAAAAGUGACUUGGAGAUCGCUUAGUUCAACCC
This 969-nucleotide long non-coding RNA is filed under the name Homo sapiens (human). RNAcentral describes it as "HSALNT0090104". Lineage: Eukaryota; Metazoa; Chordata; Mammalia; Primates; Hominidae. The record is from RNAcentral.